Molecule: ribosomal RNA, 448 nt
Filed under: uncultured bacterium
Lineage: Bacteria
Description: bacterial SSU rRNA
Rfam family: Bacterial small subunit ribosomal RNA
Source: RNAcentral
UGGGGAAUCUUGGACAAUGGGCGCAAGCCUGAUCCAGCCAUGCCGCGUGAGUGAAGAAGGCCUUCGGGUUGUAAAGCUCUUUUUACCAGGGACGAUAAUGACGGUACCUGGAGAAUAAGCCCCGGCAAACUUCGUGCCAGCAGCCGCGGUAAUACGAAGGGGGCUAGCGUUGUUCGGAAUUACUGGGCGUAAAGCGCACGUAGGCGGAUUGUUAAGUCAGAGGUGAAAUCCCGGAGCUCAACUUCGGAACUGCCUUUGAUACUGGCAAUCUAGAGUCCGGAAGAGGUUAGUGGAAUUCCCAGUGUAGAGGUGAAAUUCGUAGAUAUUGGGAAGAACACCAGUGGCGAAGGCGGCCAACUGGCUCGAUACUGACGCUGAGGUGCGAAAGCGUGGGGAGCAAACAGGAUUAGAUACCCGAGUAGUCCCUGAGCGGGCUGGCAAGGCGCAU